GAGGCUGAGGCAGGAGAAUCGCUUGAACCCAGGAGGCGGAGGCUGCAGUGAGCCAAGAUCAUGUCACUGUACUACAGCAUGGGCCACAGACUGAGACUCUGCGUGCAAUAAUUAAAAAAAAUAAAG
Molecule: long non-coding RNA, 126 nt
Organism: Sapajus apella (tufted capuchin)
Lineage: Eukaryota; Metazoa; Chordata; Mammalia; Primates; Cebidae
Exons: 2
Source: RefSeq, a predicted model, not a curated record